CGGUAUUCAGCAUGAAAAUCUGAAAGAAGUAAAUGUUUUUUUCCCCUAUUAUUAUGCAUUACAAACCUGGGUCGUCAUGCUUGCAUGUUACCAAGAUGAGUUGUUUCUGAAACCUCCAAGAAUUCAGCUGGCUCCCCGAAGUAGAGUAAAUCAAUCUGGAGUGCAUAUCGGCACCCCGAAAAUUCUUCAGAAGUUGUUAAACCCCAUCACUGAUGAUUUCGUGUAUCAUGUUCAGGGAAGAAGAAAAACCGUGCGUUCAUCAUCAUUGCAACAGCUUACUCUUCGGCAGUCCUCUGUACACGCUUGUUUUUCUGGCUGCUAAGCGUCCGGAGGAAACAGAAAAGUAAGCUUAGUAUAGUAUUUUUAUAGCCAAAAAGGAAGAAAAGAGAAAACUCUAUUCUAAUUUCAUGUAAAACUAAUGGAGAGAUGCACAUUUAGGGAAAAUGAACUUGAUGGAGGAGCCCGAGAAUAUGAAUGAAAUUCUGAGACAAUGGAGGAUUGAAGAUGCUAGUUUGGAGUUCUCAAUGUAUGAUUUCUCUCAGAUUGCUGAUGCUACAGACAACUUCUCACCCAGAAAUAUACUAGGAGAGGGUGGAUUUGGCCCAGUUUACAAGGUAUUUCCUUGCUAUAAUGCUAUUAGUAUGUCAUGCAUCAAUAUAUUAAAAAGCUCCGUAUAUGAUGAAUUUUGCAGGGAGUAUUUCCUGAUGGACAAGAGGUAGCAAUAAAAAGACUGUCUGCUCGGUCACGACAAGGUCUAAUAGAGUUCAAGAAUGAGAUCCAGAUUAUAGCAAAAGUUCAGCACAAAAACCUUGUUAGACUGCUUGGUUGUUGCAUUCAUGAAGAAGAGAAGAUGUUGAUUUACGAAUAUCUGACGAACAAAAGCUUGGACCACUUCAUUUUUGGCAUGCCCUUACUAUAAAAUGCUCAUUAUUUCAUAAUUGCAUUUGUUCUCAUAUGCAGAACUGACACCUGGUCUUGUGUUACAUUGCUUGUAGAUCCAAUCAGACAGGCAUCACUUAAAUGGAAGAGACGGAUUAAAAUAGUUGAUGGUAUAGCCUAGGGACUCCUGUACCUUCACAAUUUCUCACGAAUACGCAUCAUCCAUAGGGACUUGAAAGCAAGUAAUAUCCUGUUAGAUUCAGAUCUAAACCCUAAGAUUUCUGAUUUUGGGAUGGCAAGGAUAUUUCCAUCGGAUGCCACUCAAGCAACAGCCAGCAGACUUGUGGGCACAUAGUAAGUGUAUUAUUAUACUAGUUCUGUUACUUGCUAAUAUUUCUAUCAAAGCAUUUGCAUUCUGACUACCCACAUUCUCUCCUUCUCUAGUGGAUACAUGGCUCCUGAAUAUGUAUCUGAUGGUCUUCUCUCGAUCAAGUCAGAUGUUUUCAGUUUCGGGGUCCUGCUUCUUGAGAUUAUAAGUGGAAAGAGGAGCUCAGGUUUUCAGCACAAUGGAGAGUUUUACAACCUUCUUGAAUACGUAAGCAACUAAGGACUAACAAUCUGUAAAACUGGUGGAACAGAUAUGCUUUCCCUUAUAACAAGAUUGCAUUGUACUAACAGAUCAGUUACUAUUAAUGGUGUAUUUUUAUGGUCUUCUACAUUAUUUCUUCCACGAAGUAUAGGGCUCAAAGUACAGGGCGGUUUCCUUUACCUCCUCCCUGUUUCAUUGCUAUUUUCUAGCAUUUGUAGCUACAUCUAACAGCUAAAGAUAUACCAUCAUACACAUGUAAAAUAUUCAUUUUUCUUUUCAGGCCUGGGAACUGUGGAAAGAUGGGAGAUGGAAUGAGUUCAUUGAUCAAUCAUUUGGUGAUGACUAUGAAAUGGAAGAGCUGAUGAAAUACCUUGCUGUGGCAUUGCUGUGUGUUCAAGAAAAAACAAUUGAUCGUCCUACAAUGCCUGAUGUUGUUGCAAUUCUUAGCAGUGAUGACAUCACUUUGCCAGAACCAAAGCAGCCAGCUUACUCCUAUGCGAAAUUAGAUGUGUCAGUAAAUGUCGCUGUAUUGAGUAGCAGAAAUGAUGUCACCAUCUCUACUACAAAUGGCAGAUAAUAGAAUAUGAGUAUACUGUUAAUAAAGUCAGAGCUACAGGUCUUGGUCAUCCUUCUUGUGUUAAUUAAUUGCAAGGCACUGCGUUCUGCUGUUUCUCACCAGUAAACCUGUCAGCUGCUUUGACCAUUGGUUUUACAUAUUUAACAAGAUUUUCCUUAUUAUUCUAUAUAAACUGAGACAGCAUUAAUUUAUCUUUCAGUCCCAAACUGCCUACCACUGGGCGCUGGCACAUAAGCCAUGUUCUGGUCUCAUGAUGAAUCACAUUCCCCCAAUAAUAGACAGAUAUCAUUUGUUUGGACAUAUCAUAAAUCUAUUCCUGGCUGUUUUUAGUCUUUCUUUAUUUUUUCACAGUCAAGACAUCAGCAUAAGAAUUUAGAAGACGUAAAUACGUAAUCAAGAAGUACAACAGUACCUGGAAUGUAGACAAGUCCACUGCCCACAAGAGAACGAAGUAAACUUCACAUCACGUGGAAUAGUCCACAAGAGGCAGCUCUCUAGACCAGUCUU
RNAcentral lists this long non-coding RNA (2552 nucleotides) under Sorghum bicolor (sorghum). Its description in RNAcentral is "long non-coding RNA (SBIC_LNC003789)". Lineage: Eukaryota; Viridiplantae; Streptophyta; Magnoliopsida; Poales; Poaceae. The record is from RNAcentral.